AUACGUAGGUGGCAAGCGUUAUCCGGAAUUAUUGGGCGUAAAGAGUGCGUAGGUGGUUAUGUAAGCGUGAGGUUUAAGGCAGUGGCUUAACCACUGUUCGCCUUGCGAACUGCAUAACUUGAGUGCAGGAGGGGAAAGCGGAAUUCCUAGUGUAGCGGUGAAAUGCGUAGAUAUUAGGAGGAACACCAGCGGCGAAGGCGGCUUUCUGGACUGCAACUGACACUGAGGCACGAAAGCGUGGGGAGCAAACAGGAUUAGAUACCCUGGUAGUCCACGCCGUAAACGAUGAGCACUAGUUGUUGGGUCCGAACGGAUUCAGUGACGCAGUUAACGCAAUAAGUGCUCCGCCUGGGGAGUACGCUCGCAAGAGUAAAACUCAAAUGAAUUGACGGGG
This 394-nucleotide ribosomal RNA is filed under the name uncultured bacterium. Its description in RNAcentral is "partial 16S ribosomal RNA". It matches the Rfam family "Bacterial small subunit ribosomal RNA", at positions 523 to 918 of the family's 1533-position model. The record is from RNAcentral.